Molecule: non-coding RNA, 22 nt
Filed under: Arabidopsis thaliana (thale cress)
Lineage: Eukaryota; Viridiplantae; Streptophyta; Magnoliopsida; Brassicales; Brassicaceae
Source: RNAcentral
AGGGUGUGUGUUGAUGCAAGGU